GAACGGGAUGCAAGGUUCUGUAAAACUGGCUUAAAACCCGCAGAGGUCGACUCAUGGGUCGACUCAUGCCUUGGGGGUCGACUCAUGGGUCGACUCACAGGAUGUGCCAAGUCUGUGCCGGUCAGAAAUUUCAGCGUGCCAGUCAUCUCAUGUGCCAUGAGUCGACUCAUGGGUCGACUCAUGAUUUUCAAUCAUGCAUAUUUUUCAAAAUACA
Molecule: long non-coding RNA, 214 nt
Filed under: Elaeis guineensis (African oil palm)
Lineage: Eukaryota; Viridiplantae; Streptophyta; Magnoliopsida; Arecales; Arecaceae
Description: long non-coding RNA (EGUI_LNC022340)
Source: RNAcentral